RNAcentral lists this transfer RNA (67 nucleotides) under Marmota monax (woodchuck). RNAcentral describes it as "tRNA.Ala". Lineage: Eukaryota; Metazoa; Chordata; Mammalia; Rodentia; Sciuridae. The record is from RNAcentral.
GUGCAGCUCAGUGGUAGAGUGCUUGCCUGGCAUGUGCGCGGCCCUGGGUUCGAUCCCCAGCAGCACA